This 99-nucleotide non-coding RNA is filed under the name Yersinia massiliensis. RNAcentral describes it as "Yersinia sRNA 224". It matches the Rfam family "Yersinia sRNA 224". Lineage: Bacteria; Pseudomonadati; Pseudomonadota; Gammaproteobacteria; Enterobacterales; Yersiniaceae. The record is from RNAcentral.
GUGCUGACGAACUGCGGUGGCGAGAACAGGUAGAUCGUAAAGACGCCGUGAAUCCAUCCUUGGAGGCUCGAGCCGCGCCAUCCUUGGCGCGGACGCUUU